AUGCUUGAGACUGUUGAGCUCACAUUUGCAGAUUGUUCUCCCAUGUACCAGGCAGAAAUAGGCUUCACACGGAAGGGCCUAGUGGCUCUCAUUCAGUCUUGUCCGAUUCGUGUGCUCGUGCUAAGUGGUGCUAACUUCUUUAAUGACAAGGGAAUGAAGGCCCUCUCUUCUGCUCCAUUACUGGAGACUCUCGAGCUUGUGGAUUGCGAGGCUAUAACUAAUUUUGGGCUGGGUUUCAUUGUGCAUGCCCCAUGCUUGAUUAAUCUCACGCUCCGGCUCUGUGAAGGUGUGACUGAUGUUGGAGUAUCGAAGCUGGCACAUUCACAGAAGUUAGAGUCUCUGAUCAUUGAACGCUGUUGCUGCGUCUCUGAGCAGGCAGUGUGUGGGGCUGCCAGAUCAGUUCAAUACUCCGAGUCUGUACCCCUCAGCGAGCUAGAAAAAUUGUUCAUGGCUUCUUAG
Molecule: ribosomal RNA, 459 nt
Filed under: Triticum aestivum (bread wheat)
Lineage: Eukaryota; Viridiplantae; Streptophyta; Magnoliopsida; Poales; Poaceae
Description: partial small subunit ribosomal RNA
Source: RNAcentral